Molecule: small nucleolar RNA, 108 nt
Organism: Arachis stenosperma
Lineage: Eukaryota; Viridiplantae; Streptophyta; Magnoliopsida; Fabales; Fabaceae
Source: RefSeq, a predicted model, not a curated record
AAACAUAUCAGGGGGCAUUUCCUUGUCAAAUCCUUGAAUCUCUCCCAAGCUUCAUAAAGAGUCUUACCAUCCUGCUGUCUGAAUGUCCUUUACUUCCGUUCUUAGCCU